RNAcentral lists this ribosomal RNA (520 nucleotides) under uncultured bacterium. RNAcentral's name for it is "bacterial SSU rRNA". It matches the Rfam family "Archaeal small subunit ribosomal RNA", at positions 345 to 866 of the family's 1478-position model. The record is from RNAcentral.
AACCUCCGCAAUGUGAGAAAUCGCGACGGGGGGAUCCCAAGUGCCAUUCUUAACGGGAUGGCUUUUCAUUAGUGUAAAGAGCUUUUGGAAUAAGAGCUGGGCAAGACCGGUGCCAGCCGCCGCGGUAACACCGGCAGCUCUAGUGGUAGCAAUUUUUAUUGGGCCUAAAGCGUCCGUAGCCGGUUUAAUAAGUCUCUGGUGAAAUCCUGCAGCUUAACUGUGGGAAUUGCUGGAGAUACUAUUAGACUUGAGAUCGGGAGAGGUUAGAGGUACUCCCAGGGUAGAGGUGAAAUUCUGUAAUCCUGGGAGGACCGCCUGUUGCGAAGGCGUCUAACUGGAACGGUUCUGACGGUGAGGGACGAAAGUUAGGGGCGCGAACCGGAUUAGAUACCCGGGUAGUCCUAACUGUAAACGAUGCGGACUUGGUGUUGGGUGGCUUUGAGCUGCUCCAGUGCCGAAGGGAAGCUGUUAAGUCCGCCGCCUGGGAAGUACGGUCGCAAGACUGAAACUUAAAGGAAUU